GAUGAACGCUGGCGGCGUGCCUAAUACAUGCAAGUCGAGCGAACGGACGAGAAGCUUGCUUCUCUGAUGUUAGCGGCGGACGGGUGAGUAACACGUGGAUAACCUACCUAUAAGACUGGGAUAACUUCGGGAAACCGGAUCUAAUACCGGAUCAUAUUUUGAACCGCAUGGUUCAAAAGUGAAAGACGGUCUUGCUGUCACUUAUAGAUGGAUCCGCGCUGCAUUAGCUAGUUGGUAAGGUAACGGCUUACCAAGGCAACGAUGCAUAGCCGACCUGAGAGGGUGAUCGGCCACACUGGAACUGAGACACGGUCCAGACUCCUACGGGAGGCAGCAGUAGGGAAUCUUCCGCAAUGGGCGAAAGCAUGACGGAGCAACGCCGCGUGAGUGAUAAAGGUCUUCGGAUCGUAAAACUCUGUUAUUAGGGAAGAACAUAUGUGUAAGUAACUGUGCACAUCUUGACGGUACCUAAUCAGAAAGCCACGGCUAACUACGUG
RNAcentral lists this ribosomal RNA (497 nucleotides) under uncultured bacterium. Its description in RNAcentral is "partial 16S ribosomal RNA". It matches the Rfam family "Bacterial small subunit ribosomal RNA", at positions 28 to 507 of the family's 1533-position model. The record is from RNAcentral.